This 443-nucleotide ribosomal RNA is filed under the name uncultured bacterium. RNAcentral's name for it is "partial 16S ribosomal RNA". It matches the Rfam family "Bacterial small subunit ribosomal RNA", at positions 338 to 795 of the family's 1533-position model. The record is from RNAcentral.
CCUACGGGUGGCAGCAGUGGGGAAUAUUGGGCAAUGGGCGCAAGCCUGACCCAGCAACGCCGCGUGAAGGAAGAAGGCUUUCGGGUUGUAAACUUCUUUUCUCAGGGACGAAGCAAGUGACGGUACCUGAGGAAUAAGCCACGGCUAACUACGUGCCAGCAGCCGCGGUAAUACGUAGGUGGCAAGCGUUAUCCGGAUUUACUGGGUGUAAAGGGCGUGGAGGCGGGUCUUGAAGUCAGAUGUGAAAACCACGGGCUCAACCGGUGGCCUGCAUUUGAAACUGUAGUUCUUGAGUACUGGAGAGGCAGACGGAAUUCCUAGUGUAGCGGUGAAAUGCUGAGAUAUUAGGAGGAACACCGGUGGCGAGGGCGGUCUUCUGGACAGCAACUGACGCUGAGGCGCGAAAGCGUGGGGAGCAAACAGGAUUAGAUACCCUUGUAGUC